CUUUCCAGAGAUGGAUUGGUGCCUUCGGGAACUCUGAGACAGGUGCUGCAUGGCUGUCGUCAGCUCGUGUUGUGAAAUGUUGGGUUAAGUCCCGCAACGAGCGCAACCCUUAUCCUUUGUUGCCAGCGGUUCGGCCGGGAACUCAAAGGAGACUGCCAGUGAUAAACUGGAGGAAGGUGGGGAUGACGUCAAGUCAUCAUGGCCCUUACGAGUAGGGCUACACACGUGCUACAAUGGCGUAUACAAAGAGAAGCGACCUCGCGAGAGCAAGCGGAUCUCAUAAAGUACGUCGUAGUCCGGAUUGGAGUCUGCAACUCGACUCCAUGAAGUCGGAAUCGCUAGUAAUCGUGGAUCAGAAUGCUACGGUGAAUACGUUCCCGGGCCUUGUACACACCGCCCGUCACACCAUGGGAGUGGGUUGCAAAAGAAGUAGGUAGCUUAACCUUCGGGAGGGCGCUUACCACUUUGUGAUUCAUGACUGGGGUGAAGUCGUAACAAGGUAAGCGUAGAUGA
This 513-nucleotide ribosomal RNA is filed under the name uncultured bacterium. RNAcentral's name for it is "bacterial SSU rRNA". It matches the Rfam family "Bacterial small subunit ribosomal RNA", at positions 996 to 1509 of the family's 1533-position model. The record is from RNAcentral.